RNAcentral lists this ribosomal RNA (440 nucleotides) under uncultured bacterium. RNAcentral's name for it is "bacterial SSU rRNA". It matches the Rfam family "Bacterial small subunit ribosomal RNA", at positions 29 to 464 of the family's 1533-position model. The record is from RNAcentral.
AGUGAACGCUGGCGGCAGGCCUAACACAUGCAAGUCGAACGGCAGCACAGCAGUAGCAAUACUGUGGGUGGCGAGUGGCGGACGGGUGAGGAAUACAUCGGGAUCUACCUUUUCGUGGGGGAUAACGUAGGGAAACUUACGCUAAUACCGCAUACGCCCUACGGGGGAAAGCGGCGGACCGCAAGGCGUCGCGCGAUGAGAUGAACCGAUGUCCGAUUAGCUAGUUGGCGGGGUAAAGGCCCACCAAGGCGACGAUCGGUAGCUGAUCUGAGAGGAUGAUCAGCCACACUGGAACUGAGACACGGUCCAGACUCCUACGGGAGGCAGCAGUGGGGAAUAUUGGACAAUGGGCGCAAGCCUGAUCCAGCCAUGCCGCGUGGGUGAAGAAGGCCUUCGGGUUGUAAAGCACUUUAAGCGAGGAGGAAGGUUUACUAGCUAAU